UAGGGAAUAUUGCACAAUGGACGAAAGUCUGAUGCAGCGACGCCGCGUGAGUGACGAAGGCCUUCGGGUUGUAAAGCUCUGUUCUCAGGGAAAAAGAAAGUGAUUGUACCUGAGGAGAAAGGACCGGCUAACUUCGUGCCAGCAGCCGCGGUAAGACGAGGGGUCCAAGCGUUGUUCGGAAUCAUUGGGCGUAAAGCGGGUGUAGGCGGCUCCAUAAGUCAGAAGUGAAAGCCCCGAGCUUAACUUGGGAAGUGCUUUUGAUACUGCAGAGCUUGAAUGUGGGAGAGGGUAGUGGAAUUCCAGGUGUAGUGGUGAAAUACGUAGAUAUCUGGAGGAACACCGGUGGCGAAGGCGGCUACCUGGCCCAACAUUGACGCUGAGACCCGAAAGCGUGGGGAUCAAACAG
Molecule: ribosomal RNA, 406 nt
Filed under: uncultured bacterium
Lineage: Bacteria
Description: bacterial SSU rRNA
Rfam family: Bacterial small subunit ribosomal RNA
Source: RNAcentral